This 30-nucleotide non-coding RNA is filed under the name Rattus norvegicus (Norway rat). Lineage: Eukaryota; Metazoa; Chordata; Mammalia; Rodentia; Muridae. The record is from RNAcentral.
UAGUCAGGACUGUGCACAUUUGGUCAUAGU